This 67-nucleotide transfer RNA is filed under the name Cordylochernes scorpioides. RNAcentral describes it as "tRNA-OTHER". The record is from RNAcentral. Lineage: Eukaryota; Metazoa; Arthropoda; Arachnida; Pseudoscorpiones; Chernetidae.
GGCUAGCUCAGAUGGUAGAGCAUGAGACUUAAUCUCAGGGUUGUGGAUUCAAGCCUCACAUUGACUU